RNAcentral lists this ribosomal RNA (446 nucleotides) under uncultured bacterium. RNAcentral describes it as "partial 16S ribosomal RNA". It matches the Rfam family "Bacterial small subunit ribosomal RNA", at positions 338 to 795 of the family's 1533-position model. The record is from RNAcentral.
CCUACGGGCGGCAGCAGUCGAGAAUCAUUCACAAUGGGGGAAACCCUGAUGGUGCGACGCCGCGUGGGGGAAUGAAGGUCUUCGGAUUGUAAACCCCUGUCAUGUGGGAGCAAAUUAAAAAGAUAGUACCACAAGAGGAAGAGACGGCUAACUCUGUGCAAGCAGCCGCGGUAAUACAGAGGUCUCAAGCGUUGUUCGGAAUCACUGGGCGUAAAGCGUGCGUAGGCUGUUUCGUAAGUCGUGUGUGAAAGGUGCGGGCUCAACCCGCGGACGGCAUAUGAAACUGCGAGACUAGAGUAAUGGAGGGGGAACCGGAAUUCUCGGUGUAGCAGUGAAAUGCGUAGAUAUCGAGAGGAACACUCGUGGCGAAGGCGGGUUCCUGGACAUUAACUGACGCUGAGGCACGAAGGCCAGGGGAGCGAAAGGGAUUAGAUACCCUGGUAGUC